CUAUAAUUAUAAGUACAUAUUUAUUGUUACACUUCCAAACAUGACGUUCGGCAAAUGUAACUGUUUGACGCAACUUAUACAUUUGUAGAGUAAAAAAGUUAUGUAUCAUUGAAAUCAUUUUAUUCAGAGUAUCAUAGUACCUAAUCCAUGCGAGAAUAAAACAAUAUACUGAAUAACGAUACACCCGGACAUACAUUCGGGACCGUAAAAUUUACAUUUAGCACUUAAAGUCUGGGCGACAGUUUAUGACAAGGAAUGCCUUGAUAAACGAACUGGUGUUCAUUGUACGCCGGCUACGUCUACAGCGACUAUACGAUAAGUGCGAGCGUGAAGGGACGCUCUGUGGGAGAGUUGUAAAGUUCUCAAUCACGCUGGCGUCUGGAGCGACGUUGCCGGGCCGCACACAGGCGACCGGGUUUCAUUCAUAUUUGAGACGCGACGUUGCCGUCUCCGGCGGAAACCGCGUAAAAAAGGGCCUGAGGAAUGUGGCGGUACUGCUGAGCGGUUCUAAUGCCGAAUAAAAAGUGGCAGGAAUGCGGACAGUACUUAAGUACAAGUACUUGCUUUAGUGUACCAGGAGGUGUUGGCAAAUUUUCGUAUUCUAACUACCCACAUACCACGUAGUGAGAUGACAAAAUGGGCAUUGCAUUUCAAAAAAUUGCAAUCAAAGUCCAGUUUACUCGCACUAAGAGCAAAUGAAAUUCAGCAUUGUGGCUAUAAGAGAGCGGCGAGAGGCGGCGCCCUGAGAGUAAGCAGCGUGGGGACGGGGACGGGGCCGCGUUCUCAUGACUUUGGGUGGUCGGCGCUCGGCUUUCGAAUUCCAUUCCCUCGCCUGUAGCGCCUACGCACGCAGUCUAGGUAUUAUAUAGGUACUGUUACAUUACUAUGAGGAUUUUAAAAUGAUACAGGAAUGUUAGAGAAUGAAAAUAUUACUUUGACAAUAUUACAAUUUUAUAAACCGCUUGCUAGUGAGAUAUUUAAAACUAAAUAAAAAUGUUUCAGAAUUUGAAUACACUUGCAUUCAUAACCGUCCACUAGAUUAACAGAAAACAACAAUGACGGGUGUUCAAACAAAGAAUGGUCGAGCUAUGAAGUUAUUUCUGGUUCUACUGAAAAACUCAUGAAUGAAUUUUUACAGUGCCGGUUUCGUUUACGCAUCAUAAAACAUGAAAAAAUAAAUGAAAGGAUAGAAGCGGAAAUGGUGUCAGCUGAAGUGAACAUCCGCCAGAUGGUGCAUAUGCAACGCGCGUUUAUAACAAGAGGGCCGCAGUAAUAAAACAAACUGAAUGAAAACCCAACUAAACCUUACUUAAGGUCUUAAGACGAGCUAUCUUCGAGUUCAUCAAACAAAGGGAAGAUUUCAUUAUAAAAGGAACGACUGGCUCGUGAAAUGAGAUAUGGGCGCGUGUGCAAAUUUUAAUGAGCAAAAUGGGAUUCUCAGUUGUUUCGUAUAAUCUCGGUCUGAGAAGAGGGCCUAUAAUGAAAGCCGCCAGCGCCGACCAGACAGCAGACCGCUCGUAUAUUAGCAGAAUUCAAGGAAGGAAGGAAGGAAGGAAGGAAGGAGGUAUAUUUAUCCUGUUGUAUACCAGACUUAAAGCAUCCUGUUACCAUGGAUGAAUAAUACAAUAUAACUUGUAUUGAAUAUACAGAUUGUUUUUGUAAGCCAGUUCUCCAUAAGUACUUGCCAAAUUGGUGAGGUCAUGCACCAAUUCAACAGCUAGAGGCCCCUUUUGGGUUUGACUCAUAGCCAAGGCCACUACCAAAAAUGACUUUAGGCUAUUAUAGAUAGAAUAACUACUGUGUUUAUCUUUUUGUGUUGUUUCUUUAAAGAGUUAAAAUAUGAAAAUGAUUUAAAAUAAAAGUAAGUCUUGUAAAAUUGAUUUAUAUUGUCAAAGAGCAUUUUAAAGAUUACACUGAUAUGGAUGUAUUCAACACUUCAAUGAUAAAAUGACUGAUAAUAUUUAGUACCUACUUAUCUAUAGAUUUCUUUGAAUUGAUACUAAAGUAUUAUUUUACACUCCUUGGAUUAUUCCACUAAUUGAUUACUAAUUUUACUGUUAUAGUAAAAUUCUUAGUAUCUUUUAUUUUUCUAUGUAGAUGUACCAAUGGAAAUUGAAUUUAGUAAGAACAUAAAUUUGAAAGCAAGUGAUGUCAUGGCCAUUUAAAUUUCUCAAGUAGAAGACAUCAUUCAGUUGCGUGACAACAGCUGCUUGGAGACUUGUGCCACUUGUUCCUUAACAUUUUUUUAGUUAUACUUUUUAUUAAUCUCUGUUUUGUAUCUACUUUGACAGGAUACUUUCUAGGUGUACUUUCUAGUAGCGGUGGCGAGGAAGCUUCCAAAAUCCCAAACUAAAAAUAAGUUCUGGGAAUGCGAGCAACGUUGCUAUUUGGGGUAGACGUACAAAUAAAAACACCCAGAAGUAAGGUUAAACGUCCGCCCAUAAUAUGCUGAAUAACGUCCAACAUUGCUCGCUGACGUAGCGUACGAACAUUCCGCAAUAAAGAAGCAGAAUGCUUGUAUAUAAGAAAUUCGACGUUGCCUUCGUUUCGUUCCGCACAUAUGGAAAGGUUAUCGCGCCAUACACCAUACACCUACCUCCACACAACACUCGUAUCUUCGAAACGAAAAGUAAAUUCAAAAGGACCAAAAGCGCAGCGUUCACUAGAUCAGCUGAUAAUGCUGAUAUGAAUAAAUAGGAGCAU
This 2703-nucleotide long non-coding RNA is filed under the name Leguminivora glycinivorella. RNAcentral describes it as "uncharacterized LOC125229297, transcript variant X3". The record is from RNAcentral. Lineage: Eukaryota; Metazoa; Arthropoda; Insecta; Lepidoptera; Tortricidae.